CGUACACUCCUGCGGGAGGCAGCAGUGGGGAAUAUUGCACAAUGGGCGCAAGCCUGAUGCAGCGACGCCGCGUGGGGGAUGAAGGCCUUCGGGUUGUAAACUCCUUUCGCUAGGGACGAAGCUUUUUUGCGACGGUACCUAGAUAAGAAGCACCGGCUAACUACGUGCCAGCAGCCGCGGUAAUACGUAGGGUGCGAGCGUUGUCCGGAAUUACUGGGCGUAAAGGGCUCGUAGGUGGUUUGUCGCGUCGUCUGUGAAAUUCUGGGGCUUAACUCCGGGCGUGCAGGCGAUACGGGCAUAACUUGAGUGCUGUAGGGGUAACUGGAAUUCCUGGUGUAGCGGUGAAAUGCGCAGAUAUCAGGAGGAACACCGAUGGCGAAGGCAGGUUACUGGGCAGUUACUGACGCUGAGGAGCGAAAGCAUGGGUAGCGAACAGGAUUAGAUACCCUGGUAGUCCC
This 458-nucleotide ribosomal RNA is filed under the name uncultured organism. Its description in RNAcentral is "partial 16S ribosomal RNA". It matches the Rfam family "Bacterial small subunit ribosomal RNA", at positions 330 to 797 of the family's 1533-position model. The record is from RNAcentral.